CCUACGGGCGGCAGCAGUGGGGAAUAUUGGGCAAUGGGCGAAAGCCUGACCCAGCAACGCCGCGUGAAGGAAGAAGGCUUUCGGGUUGUAAACUUCUUUUGACAGGGAAGAGCAGAAGACGGUACCUGUCGAAUAAGCCACGGCUAACUACGUGCCAGCAGCCGCGGUAAUACGUAGGUGGCAAGCGGUGUCCGGAUUUACUGGGGGUAAAGGGCGUGUAGCCGGGCUGACAAGUCAGAGGUGAAAUCCGGGGGCUCAACCCCCGAACUGCAUUUGAAACUGUUGGUCUUGAGUAUCGGAGAGGCAGGCGGAAUUCCUAGUGUAGCGGUGAAAUGCGUAGAUAUUAGGAGGAACACCAGUGGCGAAGGCGGCCUGCUGGACGACAACUGACGGUGAGGCGCGAAAGCGUGGGGAGCAAACAGGAUUAGAUACCCUUGUAGUC
Molecule: ribosomal RNA, 442 nt
Filed under: uncultured bacterium
Lineage: Bacteria
Description: partial 16S ribosomal RNA
Rfam family: Bacterial small subunit ribosomal RNA
Source: RNAcentral